RNAcentral lists this ribosomal RNA (252 nucleotides) under uncultured bacterium. RNAcentral's name for it is "partial 16S ribosomal RNA". It matches the Rfam family "Bacterial small subunit ribosomal RNA", at positions 524 to 776 of the family's 1533-position model. The record is from RNAcentral.
UACGUAGGGGGCUAGCGUUAUCUGGAAUUACUGGGCGUAAAGGGUGCGUAGGUGGUUUCUUAAGUCAGAGGUGAAAGGCUACGGCUCAACCGUAGUAAGCCUUUGAAACUGGGGAACUUGAGUGCAGGAGAGGAGAGUGGAAUUCCUAGUGUAGCGGUGAAAUGCGUAGAUAUUAGGAGGAACACCAGUUGCGGAGGCGGCUCUCUGGACUGUAACUGACACUGAGGCACGAAAGCGUGGGGAGCAAACAGG